AGACCUGGCGGCAGCCUACACAUGCAAGUCGGACGGUAGCACAGAGAGCUUGCUCUCGGGUGACGAGUGGCGGACGGGUGAGUAAUGUCUGGGGAUCUGCCCGAUAGAGGGGGAUAACCACUGGAAACGGUGGCUAAUACCGCAUAACGUCGCAAGACCAAAGAGGGGGACCUUCGGGCCUCUCACUAUCGGAUGAACCCAGAUGGGAUUAGGUAGUAGGCGGGGUAAUGGCCCACCUAGGCGACGAUCCCUAGCUGGUCUGAGAGGAUGACCAGCCACACUGGAACUGAGACACGGUCCAGACUCCUACGGGAGGCAGCAGUGGGGAAUAUUGCACAAUGGGCGCAAGCCUGAUGCAGCCAUGCCGCGUGUAUGAAGAAGGCCUUCGGGUUGUAAAGUACUUUCAGCGGGGAGGAAGGCGAUGCGGUUAAUAACCGCGUCGAUUGACGUUACCCGCAGAAGAAGCACCGGCUAACUCCGUGCCAGCAGCCGCGGUAAU
RNAcentral lists this ribosomal RNA (499 nucleotides) under uncultured bacterium. RNAcentral describes it as "bacterial SSU rRNA". It matches the Rfam family "Bacterial small subunit ribosomal RNA", at positions 36 to 524 of the family's 1533-position model. The record is from RNAcentral.